UAUCAAAAUGGUUCUGGUGUGCAUGUACCUUUAAAUUCUCCGCUCACCGGUAGUGCAUCGAAUGUGCGUAUAUUGAAAGCCACAAAGCAGAGAUACCCAACCCAAAGAAUAUGAGGAGGUCUCUGAGGUAUCGCCAUAAAAACGGUUAGGAUGAAUGACAACAAUCUUAGAGAGUCAACAGCAGAAACUACUGGGACCAUAGGAAGUUUAGACAACGCUCACUUAAUUCUGUUCUUAAAGGAGAAAUAACAGCGCCCCCGGGUGCGAGUYGCACUCAUCAGGGUCUUCUCAAGGCGGUCCUCCUCUACCUGACAAUUCACUGCCCACACUACCCAGCAGGACUGUUUAGGAGUCACACCAGGAGGACAAUAAAUGUCUCCUUGUGUCAAUAACACCAGCUGUUCUAUCUGAGCCACUGCUGGCUCUCAACGCAAACAGGGACUACUUUAUUAAACCAAAGAAAAAAUUA
This is a long non-coding RNA of Poecilia reticulata (guppy), 469 nucleotides long. RefSeq lists it as uncharacterized. The record is from RefSeq and is a predicted model, not a curated record. Lineage: Eukaryota; Metazoa; Chordata; Actinopteri; Cyprinodontiformes; Poeciliidae.